CACCAAAGCGCCACGUCACAACGGAUGCGCAAUCACUAUUUUAUGUGAGUGCAGAUUUGUAUUAAAACCGGAAAGCAUGGACACCCAGACAGCUUACUGUCAAUGACUGUACUAUUCACUGUCUUCAACAAAAGUCAGCUAUUCCAGGAAACUCUCGUCCAGAAAGAUAAAAAUUGAGAAUGAGACAUCAAUCAAUAUGCGGAAGAUUUACAUGGUUCGGUCUGGAAGGGUGGGACAAUUCGAAGGGUGAGGAGAGAAGAGGAGCUUCCGGGUCAUAGAAUCAACCACUGACCUACCAGAAUCCACCAUGGACCUGGAGUCACCCACAGAUGUGUACCUGGAGAACACCCAGGCUUUCCAAAAUGAAGCAAAUUCUCCAUUAGCUGUGAUGAUCACUGCUAUCCACUACUUUCUAAGAAGAUUCUAUGCUUUUGAGCAUGCCUACCACUACACUAUAGGAGAUCUAUUGUAGAAGACUAGAAAAACAUAGGAUGUGCCCAGCUGAGGCAUUGAUCCUGGCUGGGUAGGGGGAAUUGUUCAGGGAUGGGGAAGGGGCACUUCUUAGCUGUGUCUCAUCGAGUACGGGCUCAAUAAAUAAUUGAAUUUUGAGAGUGG
This 615-nucleotide long non-coding RNA is filed under the name Homo sapiens (human). Its description in RNAcentral is "HSALNT0366788". Lineage: Eukaryota; Metazoa; Chordata; Mammalia; Primates; Hominidae. The record is from RNAcentral.